AGAGAAAAGCAGCUGAAACCCCGAAUCCCCAUUCACUCGAUCGACAGAAGGAAAUGACCGAUGGACCCCUUAUUAUCUUUUUUAUUAGUCAACAGUCUCAUCUCCAACUGAAUGAUCGGGCGUACUACGACUAAGAGAAUAAGGGAAUGGUCCCAGAUCCAGAUACACUACACAUUCACGCCCUCCUCCGACUGCAGACGAAGAUCGAGUUCGAAUUGAAAGUUUCCAAGGCGGAAGACAUCAACUUAGAAAGCAAUCGAAGACUUAAAACCUAAGAUAGAAGUUCCACGAAUCACCAGUCCCGCCAUACAAGACAAUAAUAAAAGAAAGAACAUGUCCUACAACCGCAUACACAUACCCUCGAUACAAAGCAAGAAAGAAAGCAAACUCAAUCCUCGCCUCGGGAUGAG
RNAcentral lists this unclassified non-coding RNA (410 nucleotides) under Hevea brasiliensis (rubber tree). Lineage: Eukaryota; Viridiplantae; Streptophyta; Magnoliopsida; Malpighiales; Euphorbiaceae. The record is from RNAcentral.